Molecule: ribosomal RNA, 540 nt
Filed under: uncultured Geobacteraceae bacterium
Lineage: Bacteria; Pseudomonadati; Thermodesulfobacteriota; Desulfuromonadia; Geobacterales; Geobacteraceae
Description: bacterial SSU rRNA
Rfam family: Bacterial small subunit ribosomal RNA
Source: RNAcentral
GAGUUUGAUCCUGGCUCAGAACGAACGCUGGCGGCGUGCCUAACACAUGCAAGUUGAACGUGAUCCAGAGCUUGCUCUGGUGAAAGUGGCGCACGGGUGAGUAACGCGUGGAUAACCUACCCUGGUAUCCGGGAUAACAUUCCGAAAGGGGUGCUAAUACCGGAUAAGCCCACGGGCUCUUUGGAGCUUGCGGGAAAAGGUGGCCUCUAUUUAUAAGCUACUAUAUCAGGAUGGGUCCGCGUACCAUUAGCUAGUUGGCGGUGUAACGGACCACCAAGGCGACGAUGGUUAGCUGGUCUGAGAGGAUGAUCAGCCACACUGGAACUGAGACACGGUCCAGACUCCUACGGGAGGCAGCAGUGGGGAAUUUUGCGCAAUGGGGGAAACCCUGACGCAGCAACGCCGCGUGAGUGAUGAAGGCCUUUGGGUCGUAAAGCUCUGUCAGAGGGGAAGAAAUGAUAUAGUGCUAAUACCACUUUAUCUUGACGGUACCCUCAAAGGAAGCACCGGCUAACUCCGUGCCAGCAGCCGCGGUAAUAC